This 433-nucleotide ribosomal RNA is filed under the name uncultured bacterium. Its description in RNAcentral is "bacterial SSU rRNA". It matches the Rfam family "Bacterial small subunit ribosomal RNA", at positions 28 to 453 of the family's 1533-position model. The record is from RNAcentral.
GAUGAACGCUAGCGAUAGGCCUAACACAUGCAAGUCGAGGGGCAUCACAUGAAGUAGCAAUACGGAUGGUGGCGACCGGCGCACGGGUGAGUAACACGUAUGCAACCUGCCUUCAACAAGGGGAUAACCCGUUGAAAGACGGACUAAUACCCUAUAACACAGGGGUCCCGCAUGGGAAUAUUGUUAAAGGACAACCGGUUGAAGAUGGGCAUGCGUUCCAUUAGCUAGUUGGCGGGGUAACGGCCCACCAAGGCAACGAUGGAUAGGGGAACUGAGAGGUUUAUCCCCCACACUGGUACUGAGACACGGACCAGACUCCUACGGGAGGCAGCAGUGAGGAAUAUUGGUCAAUGGACGCAAGUCUGAACCAGCCACGUCGCGUGAAGGAAGACGGCCCUACGGGUUGUAAACUCUUUUAUACGGGAAUAAAGUG